AUUAGUCUUUUAAUUGGAGGCUUGUAUGAAUGGUUGGACAAAAAGCAAGCUGUCUCAAUUAUAAUAAUUGAAUUUAACUUUUAAGUGAGAAGGCUUAAAUAAACUAAGGGGACGAUAAGACCCUAUAAAGCUUGACAAUAAAUCGUUUAUAUUAUAAACUGUUAGUAUAACUUGAUUUUAAACGGUGUUUGUUGCGUUGGGGCGACGGGAAUAUAAAAGGUAACUGUUCUUAUAAGAUUUAAUAACAGAAAUAUCUGGAAAAUUAAUGAUCCUUUUUUAAAGAUCAUAAGAUUAAGUUACUUUAGGGAUAACAGCGUAAUCUUCUUUGAGAGUCCAUAUCGACAGGAAGGGUUGCGACCUCGAUGUUGAAUUAAGGUAUCCUUAUAAUGCAGCAGUUAUAAAGGAAGGUCUGUUCGACCUUUAAAUC
RNAcentral lists this ribosomal RNA (427 nucleotides) under Penaeus brasiliensis (pinkspotted shrimp). RNAcentral describes it as "partial 16S ribosomal RNA". It matches the Rfam family "Bacterial large subunit ribosomal RNA", at positions 1967 to 2594 of the family's 2925-position model. The record is from RNAcentral. Lineage: Eukaryota; Metazoa; Arthropoda; Malacostraca; Decapoda; Penaeidae.